GAUGAACGCUGGCGGCGUGCCUAAUACAUGCAAGUCGAGCGAACAGACGAGGAGCUUGCUCCUUCGACGUUAGCGGCGGACGGGUGAGUAACACGUAGGUAACCUACCUAUAAGACUGGGAUAACUUCGGGAAACCGGAGCUAAUACCGGAUAAUAUUUCGAACCGCAUGGUUCGAUAGUGAAAGAUGGCUUUGCUAUCACUUAUAGAUGGACCUGCGCCGUAUUAGCUAGUUGGUAAGGUAACGGCUUACCAAGGCAACGAUACGUAGCCGACCUGAGAGGGUGAUCGGCCACACUGGAACUGAGACACAGUCCAGACUCCUACGGGAGGCAGCAGUAGGGAAUCUUCCGCAAUGGGGGAAAGCCUGACGGAGCAACGCCGCGUGAGUGAUGAAGGUCUUCGGAUCGGAAAACUCUGUUAUUAGGGAAGAACAAACGUGUAAGUAACUGUGCACAUCUUGACGGUACCUGAUCAGAAAGCCACGGCUAACUACGUG
RNAcentral lists this ribosomal RNA (497 nucleotides) under uncultured bacterium. Its description in RNAcentral is "partial 16S ribosomal RNA". It matches the Rfam family "Bacterial small subunit ribosomal RNA", at positions 28 to 507 of the family's 1533-position model. The record is from RNAcentral.